RNAcentral lists this ribosomal RNA (492 nucleotides) under uncultured bacterium. RNAcentral describes it as "partial 16S ribosomal RNA". It matches the Rfam family "Bacterial small subunit ribosomal RNA", at positions 29 to 507 of the family's 1533-position model. The record is from RNAcentral.
AGUGAACGCUGGCGGUAGGCCUAACACAUGCAAGUCGAACGGCAGCACAGUAAGAGCUUGCUCUUACGGGUGGCGAGUGGCGGACGGGUGAGGAAUACAUCGGAAUCUACUUUUUCGUGGGGGAUAACGUAGGGAAACUUACGCUAAUACCGCAUACGACCUACGGGUGAAAGCAGGGGAUCUUCGGACCUUGCGCGAUUGAAUGAGCCGAUGUCGGAUUAGCUAGUUGGCGGGGUAAAGGCCCACCAAGGCGACGAUCCGUAGCUGGUCUGAGAGGAUGAUCAGCCACACUGGAACUGAGACACGGUCCAGACUCCUACGGGAGGCAGCAGUGUGGAAUAUUGGACAAUGGGCGCAAGCCUGAUCCAGCCAUACCGCGUGUGUUAAGAAGGCCUUCGGGUUGUAAAGCCCUUUUGUUGGGAAAGAAAAGCAGCAGGUUAAUACCCCGCUGUUCUGACGGUACCCAAAGAAUAAGCACCGGCUAACUUCGUG